GCAUAUCAAUAAGCGGAGGAAAAGAAACCAACGGGUUUACCUUACUAACGGCGAGUGAAGCGGUAAAAGCUCAAAUUUGAAAUCUUCGGAAUUGUAAUUUGUCGGGUAGAAUUUGUUUUUUAAAGAAAGUUCACUGGAAUGUGACGCCACAGAGGGUGAUAGCCCCGUUAACUAAAGAAAACUAUUUAAUUCUAUUCCAAAGAGUCGGGUUGUUUGGGAAUGCAGCUCAAAGUGGGUGGUAAAUUCCAUCUAAAGCUAAAUAUUGGCGAGAGACCGAUAGCGAACAAGUACAGUGAUGGAAAGAUGAAAAGAACUUUGAAAAGAGAGUGAAAUAGUACGUGAAAUUGUUGAAAGGGAAGGGAAAGGGGGAGAUAAUUCAAGUUAAUACCCAGUGUUACUUGACCACAUCUUGCUCUUUUCACCCGUCUUGAAACACGGACCA
This 442-nucleotide ribosomal RNA is filed under the name Metschnikowia similis. RNAcentral's name for it is "LSU rRNA". It matches the Rfam family "Eukaryotic large subunit ribosomal RNA", at positions 38 to 668 of the family's 3401-position model. The record is from RNAcentral. Lineage: Eukaryota; Fungi; Ascomycota; Pichiomycetes; Serinales; Metschnikowiaceae.